Molecule: unclassified non-coding RNA, 212 nt
Filed under: plant metagenome
Description: partial contains small subunit ribosomal RNA, internal transcribed spacer 1, and 5.8S ribosomal RNA
Source: RNAcentral
UCUCCGUUGGUGAACCAGCGGAGGGAUCGUUACAGGAUCGAAAGACUCCUAUAACCCCUGUGAACUUACUACAAAUACGUUGCUUCGGCGGGUGCCCCGGGUCUCCCGGGGCGUUCAGCCCGCCGGCAGCCUUCAAAUUCUGUUUCUUUGCGUUGGCAUCUCGAGUAUACAAAAAUAAGUUAAAACUUUCAACAACGGAUCUCUUGGUUCUG